GGCAAGCGUUAUCCGGAGUUACUGGGCGUAAAGAGCGUGUAGGCGGGUAUGCAAGUUUGGCGUGAAAGCUCCCGGCUAAACUGGGAGACUGCGUUGAAGACUGCGUAUCUAGAGGCAAGUAGAGGGACGUGGAAUUCCGGGUGUAGUGGUGAAAUGCGUAGAGAUCCGGAGGAACACCAGUGGCGAAGGCGACGUCCUGGGCUUGACCUGACGCUGAGACGCGACAGCACGGGGAGCGAACGGG
RNAcentral lists this ribosomal RNA (244 nucleotides) under uncultured bacterium. RNAcentral's name for it is "partial 16S ribosomal RNA". It matches the Rfam family "Bacterial small subunit ribosomal RNA", at positions 533 to 776 of the family's 1533-position model. The record is from RNAcentral.